Suillus lakei is the source of this 84-nucleotide non-coding RNA. The record is from the annotation of a GenBank genome assembly. Lineage: Eukaryota; Fungi; Basidiomycota; Agaricomycetes; Boletales; Suillaceae.
GCCGGGGUAGCUCAGCUGGGAGAGCAACAGACUGAAGCUGGUGAUGUAUUCUGGAGGUCCCGUGUUCAAUCCACGGUCCUGGCA